Molecule: ribosomal RNA, 229 nt
Filed under: uncultured bacterium
Lineage: Bacteria
Description: partial 16S ribosomal RNA
Rfam family: Bacterial small subunit ribosomal RNA
Source: RNAcentral
UCCGUAGGUGGAUUAAUAAGUCAGUGGUGAAAACCUGCAGCUUAACUGUAGAACUGCCAUUGAUACUGUUAGUCUUGAGUACGGUCAAGGUAGGCGGAAUGUGUAAUGUAGCGGUGAAAUGCUUAGAUAUUACACAGAACACCGAUUGCGAAGGCAGCUUACUGGACCAUUACUGACGCUGAGGCACGAAAGCGUGGGGAGCGAACAGGAUUAGAUACCCUGGUAGUCC